CCCUUAGAUGUUCUGGGCCGCACGCGCGCUACACUGAUGCAUUCAACGAGCCUAUCCUUGACCGACAGGUCCGGGUAAUCUUUGAAUCUGCAUCGUGACGGGGAUAGAUUAUUGCAAUUAUUAAUCUUCAACGAGGAAUGCCUAGUAGGCGCAAGUCAUCAGCUUGCGUCGAUUACGUCCCUGCCCUUUGUACACACCGCCCGUCGCUCCUACCGAUUGGGUGUGCUGGUGAAAUGUUCGGAUCGGCCGUUUGUCGCGGUUUCCGCGGCUCGUGGCUGAGAAGUUCAUUAAACCCUCCCACUUAGAGGAAGGAGAAGUCGUAACA
This 325-nucleotide ribosomal RNA is filed under the name uncultured eukaryote. Its description in RNAcentral is "partial 18S ribosomal RNA". It matches the Rfam family "Eukaryotic small subunit ribosomal RNA", at positions 1470 to 1796 of the family's 1831-position model. The record is from RNAcentral.